GCUUAACACAUGCAAGUCGAACGGAAUCCAUGGUGUAGCAAUACACCGGAAGAUUUAGUGGCGAACGGGUGAGGAUCACGUGAGAAACCUGCCCCAGACUUUGGGAUAACAAUUGGAAACGAUUGCUAAUACCGAAUGACGUCGGAGAACCGCAUGGUUCACUGACGAAAGGAAAUCCGGUUUGGGAGGGUCUCGCGGCCUAUCAGCUUGUUGGUGGGGUAAUGGCCUACCAAGGCAACGACGGGUAGCUGGUCUGAGAGGAUGAUCAGCCACACUGGGACUGAGACACGGCCCAGACUCCUACGGGAGGCAGCAGUGGGGAAUCUUGCGCAAUGGGCGAAAGCCUGACGCAGCAACGCCGCGUGCGGGAUGAAGGCCUUCGGGCUGUAAACCGCUUUCAGCAGGAACGAAAAUGACGGUACCUGCAGAAGAAGGAGCGGCCAACUACGUGCCAGCAGCCGCGGUGACACGUAGGCUCCAAGCGUUGUCCGGAUUUAUUGGGCGUAAAGAGCUCGUAGGCGGUUUAGUAAGUCGGGUGUUAAAACUCUGGGCUCAACCCGGAGAGGCCAUCCGAUACUGCUGUGACUUGAGUUCAGGAGGGGAGCGGGGAAUUCCUAGUGUAGCGGUGAAAUGCGCAGAUAUUAGGAGGAACACCGGUGGCGAAGGCGCCGCUCUGGACUGAAACUGACGCUGAGGAGCGAAAGCAUGGGUAGCAAACAGGAUUAGAUACCCUGGUAGUCCAUGCCGUAAACGGUGGGCACUAGGUGUGGGUUCCAACUAACGGG
RNAcentral lists this ribosomal RNA (785 nucleotides) under uncultured Actinomycetes bacterium. Its description in RNAcentral is "bacterial SSU rRNA". It matches the Rfam family "Bacterial small subunit ribosomal RNA", at positions 46 to 838 of the family's 1533-position model. The record is from RNAcentral. Lineage: Bacteria; Bacillati; Actinomycetota; Actinomycetes.